RNAcentral lists this transfer RNA (60 nucleotides) under Armatimonadetes bacterium RBG_16_58_9. Its description in RNAcentral is "tRNA-Arg". It matches the Rfam family "tRNA", at positions 1 to 58 of the family's 71-position model. Rfam says of the family: Transfer RNA (tRNA) molecules are approximately 80 nucleotides in length. Their secondary structure includes four short double-helical elements and three loops (D, anti-codon, and T loops). Further hydrogen bonds mediate the characteristic L-shaped molecular structure. tRNAs have two regions of fundamental functional importance: the anti-codon, which is responsible for specific mRNA codon recognition, and the 3' end, to which the tRNAs corresponding amino acid is attached (by aminoacyl-tRNA synthetases). tRNAs cope with the degeneracy of the genetic code in two manners: having more than one tRNA (with a specific anti-codon) for a particular amino acid; and 'wobble' base-pairing, i.e. permitting non-standard base-pairing at the 3rd anti-codon position. Lineage: Bacteria; Bacillati; Armatimonadota. The record is from RNAcentral.
GCGCUUGUAGCUCAGGGGAUAGAGCGAAUGGUUGCGGACCAUUAGGUCGGGGGUUCGAUU